AAGUACAUGAAAGUAUCAUCAAGCCGGAGCAAGAGUUUUUCAUUCCCCUAUUUGAGAAGAGCUGCGUGAAUGACUUUUAUAUUCAGGAUAGAGAUACAUUCUUCAAUCCAGCCACCAGAAGCCGCAUUUGCAACUUCAGCCUCCGUCAGAGGACCUCAGCUGCCCCAGCGAACAGGGCCUUCUGUACAGGGAAUGGGCUCCUCCUCGAAGCAUAGACAAGAAGCAGCCCUUAGAUCUCAUCAGGAAAUUCUAUGGAGAGACGGUUGGAAUCUACUUUGCUUGGCUGGGCUAUUACACUCAGAUGCUCCUCCUGGCAGCAGUCGUGGGGGUCACUUGCUUUCUG
Long non-coding RNA from Camelus dromedarius (Arabian camel), 343 nucleotides. RefSeq lists it as uncharacterized. The transcript is spliced from 3 exons. Lineage: Eukaryota; Metazoa; Chordata; Mammalia; Artiodactyla; Camelidae. The record is from RefSeq and is a predicted model, not a curated record.